GGAUAUUGGCUUGUUCACAAUAAACUCGGUACAAUAACCUUUCGCAACAAUUCUUCCAUGCCGACAAUCAUUUUGGCUUAAAUAUUUGAUGUUUCAGUUCCAUAGUUCUUAGUCAAGCUGAAUUGAGGAAUAGAAUGAGAUUGCCCAGAUGCUAUCUUCAGUUUAAAUUUAUCUUGAAAAGCCAUAUAGGCAGGGCCGCAUGAAUGGGGAUCAGACUCUGGACUCUGGAGCCUACCAGUUGAUCAGCACUGAAGAUUUAUGUGAGAAAUAGGCAGUGAAGCGAAAAAAAAGUCUCAUACAAGAUCCAUCUCCAGUAAGAAAAGCAAGAGUCAAGGUACAUAUAUACAACAAUAACAUCUCAUAGUUCUUCCAAAGGUUCUGAAAAGUGUCAUUACGCUACUAUCUCACAAGACAUCAUCUUCUUGCAAGUACAGACCACCAUCCGUCUCACAAGACAUCAUCUUCUUGCAAGUACAGACCACCAUCGGUCUCAAUGGGCAUAGAAGGCGGAGUUCCAGGUGGAAUGCAAUCGGCCCCGGCCUCACCUGCAAUGGUACACAAUGCCUCGGCGUCCUGAAU
Molecule: long non-coding RNA, 579 nt
Filed under: Triticum aestivum (bread wheat)
Lineage: Eukaryota; Viridiplantae; Streptophyta; Magnoliopsida; Poales; Poaceae
Description: long non-coding RNA (TAES_LNC013544)
Source: RNAcentral